GAGUUUGAUCCUGGCUCAGAUUGAACGCUGGCGGUAUGCUUUACACAUGCAAGUCGAACGGCAGCAUAGGUGCUUGCACCUGAUGGCGAGUGGCGAACGGGUGAGUAAUGCAUCGGAACGUGCCCAGUCGUGGGGGAUAACGCAGCGAAAGCUGUGCUAAUACCGCAUACGAUCUAUGGAUGAAAGCGGGGGACCUUCGGGCCUCGCGCGAUUGGAGCGGCCGAUGUUAGAUUAGGUAGUUGGUGGGGUAAAGGCUCACCAAGCCGACGAUCUAUAGCUGGUCUGAGAGGACGACCAGCCACACUGGAACUGAGACACGGUCCAGACUCCUACGGGAGGCAGCAGUGGGGAAUUUUGGACAAUGGGCGAAAGCCUGAUCCAGCAAUACCGCGUGCAGGAAGAAGGCCCUCGGGUUGUAAACUGCUUUUGUACGGAACGAAACGGCGCGCUCUAAUAAAGUGCGCUAAUGACGGUACCGUAAGAAUAAGCACCGGCUAACUACGUGCCAGCAGCCGCGGUAAUACGUAGGGUGCAAGCGUUAAUCGGAAUUACUGGGCGUAAAGCGUGCGCAGGCGGUUUUGUAAGACAGGCGUGAAAUCCCCGGGCUUAACCUGGGAAUUGCGCUUGUGACUGCAAGGCUAGAGUACGGUAGAGGGGGGUAGAAUUCCGCGUGUAGCAGUGAAAU
Molecule: ribosomal RNA, 685 nt
Filed under: uncultured bacterium
Lineage: Bacteria
Description: bacterial SSU rRNA
Rfam family: Bacterial small subunit ribosomal RNA
Source: RNAcentral